Molecule: long non-coding RNA, 1151 nt
Filed under: Chrysemys picta bellii (western painted turtle)
Lineage: Eukaryota; Metazoa; Chordata; Testudines; Emydidae
Description: lncRNA (ENSCPBG00000020272.1)
Source: RNAcentral
UGCAACACACACUAAACCCCUGAGCUCAGCCCAAACGGAGACUCCUUGGAGCCCAGAAGUAGCUGCUCGGAGCGCUCCUGGGUCCGUACUGCCAGCCCCGUAGCCCGUCGUCUCCCGAACCAGACACUGCCUCUCACGGGGGCGGAGGGAAUCCCUCCGCCUGCCUGACCCACAAAGCCUGGGAGAUGGAAUCCCUGCGGUUUGCUUGUCUCUGUGAACUGUGCGACUGUGGUCGACACAAGCGCCACAAGAACUGCAAGAAGCGGAGCAGGCCAGCGCCUCAGGACUGCAGGAGGCCCCAGCUGUCCCAUUACAAGGCAACUUACACCCAGCCACCAAACGUGCAUCCUCGAAGCAGCAAGAGGCCGCUCCGCACCCCUCCACACCCCAACCCCCCGGCCAUGGCCUUCAGCACCACGCAGCGGGCAGAGUUCAUUCCCUGGGAGCUGGGCCAGAGGACCAAGCCGCCUGUCCAGGAGGCGUAUCAGUGCCCACAGGAGCCCUUCCAAAGCCAGAGUCUGUACCGCCUCCACUUCCCGCCCAGGGAGCCGGUCGUGACCACCCUCCGGCAGCCCCCGACUCCCAGGCAGCCUGACGGCUCCGGCUUCCCCCACACCACCACCACCAAGGAGAGCUACAAAGGAUGGCGAGCGGAACACCCAGCCUGCUAUGGAGAGCCACCAGCCCUGGCAGGUGAUCAUGACAUGACGACAACCCACCAGAGCACCUACCAGUCUGUGCCCUUGGAGAAGCGGGUAGCCCAGUCACGCGGUAAAGGAGUAGUGCCAGCAGGGAAACGAGCCCAGGUGGAAUACAUGACCAAGUACCAGAGCGAUUUCCCAGCAUGCAGCUUGUUACCUGCACGGAUUCAGCCUGCUCAGCCUCCUCUGGACAACCUGGCAAUCAACCAGGGCUUCAGAUUUUCAGACGGUGCAGAGGGAAAGCUACCAUGGCUGGGACACCCGCAGAUACCCUCGUGCCUGCCCCAUCAAGCUGAAAGAGGAGCUGGCAGACUUGGGGAAAGAGAGGGAUGGAAAAUUCAGUGGAGACACUGUGACCAAGCUCUCUUACCCUCCUCUGCCCUUGGACAGGCCUCCGGGGACUAUCCAGUGGCCCCCCACAGUGCUGAGAUCCCUCCCUGCAAAGUUUGA